UACGAAGGGAGCUAGCGUUGUUCGGAAUCACUGGGCGUAAAGCGCACGUAGGCGGAUGUGUCAGUCAGGGGUGAAAUCCCGGAGCUCAACUUCGGAACUGCCUUUGAUACAGCACAUCUGGAGUCCGGAAGAGGUGGGUGGAAUUCCUAGUGUAGAGGUGAAAUUCGUAGAUAUUAGGAAGAACACCGGUGGCGAAGGCGGCCCACUGGUCCGGUACUGACGCUGAGGUGCGAAAGCGUGGGGAGCAAACAAG
RNAcentral lists this ribosomal RNA (253 nucleotides) under uncultured bacterium. RNAcentral's name for it is "partial 16S ribosomal RNA". It matches the Rfam family "Bacterial small subunit ribosomal RNA", at positions 524 to 776 of the family's 1533-position model. The record is from RNAcentral.